UUUCAUCCUUGUAAAUGUGUUUUGUCUAGUGGAGUCCAUUGAGUUGCUAUUGCAGAUCACAGUAGAAGAAUCACAUCCUAAUUUAACUGAAGGUUUGGAGGAGGACACAACUCUCUGGUUGGAGCCAUAUCUCCAGAGGGCCCCAGGGUUCCAGGAGCUGCUUGGAGUGUGGAGCAGUGGUGCAGCCGUGCAGUGCCUGCUGGAGUUCAACACCAGGGGAGCUCUACAGUGGCUGCCCCAAACAGGAGCCUCCUCUCUGCUGGACAGAACCGGGCUGAGGCAGGCUGUGAGGGAUGGCCGAAGCUUCAGGUCUGCU
Molecule: long non-coding RNA, 316 nt
Organism: Periophthalmus magnuspinnatus
Lineage: Eukaryota; Metazoa; Chordata; Actinopteri; Gobiiformes; Gobiidae
Exons: 3
Source: RefSeq, a predicted model, not a curated record